AAAACUUCAUUCACCCAGGCUGCUCAUCUCUGCCCUCUAUUUGCUAAUUCAUUCUUUUUUUUUUUUUUGUCUUUUUAGGGCUGCACCCACGACAUACGGAGAUUCCCAGGCUAGGGUCAAAUCGGAGCUUUAGCUGCUGGCCUACGCCACAUCCACAGCCACACCAGAUCCAAGCCGUGUCUUCAACCUACACCACAGCUCACGGCAACCCCGGAUCCUUAACCCACUGAACGAUGCCAGGGAUCAAACCUAUGUCCUCAUGGAUGCUAGUCAGAUUCGUUUCCACUGAGCCACGACGGGAACUCCUGCUAAUUCAUUAUUGCAACCGACCAAUCAGUCUUCAUUCAAUUAAUCAAUGAAUGAGCCAAUCAUCGUCCAAAGGUCCGGUGUUUAUUGGAGCAGCCAGUUAAUUUCAUUGAUUCAUGUUCUUGCCUUCAGUGGACGAAGUGCUAAGCAGUCAUUUAGUCUCCAUUCAUUCCAGCUCAGUAUUCCAGGUGGCAAAGCUCAGGCCUGAACCAUUCCUCAAAGGGUGUCUAGUUCAGCUGAUGUAAUCCCGUAGGAAUCCCCUCCACUGCAACCUUGCCAUGUCGUCACCCAGAUUAGACUAAGUUCCUCUAACAGUCUUCAUAGGCUGCCUGGACUGUAGCAGGACACGUUUGGCUGCAAGAAGAUAUUUCUCAGCCCCCUUGUAAUGUUCAUAUUUGCUUCUGACAAUGCCUUCCAGGCCACCUGGAGCAACCCAGCUCCCGUGCAGGACCCCAGCCCCUCGGUAGCAACAGCUGGUCACGCUGCCUCUGGACCCCUUCCCUCCCUCACUGGCCCUCGUGGGUGAUGCUCCCUCUUUGCUCCAAUCGCUCUCCUGGUUAGGCAGGCUUCACUCAGCCCAGGGCUCUCUCCUGAUUUGGGGGUGGGAAUCAGGGAGCACAUUCCAGGUGUGAUGUGACCAGCUUGGAAGAGAGGGGGCAGUCACUUACAGUUCUAAACAGACCAAGCCGCAGCGUGUUUGUCCUGCUUGCCAUUCUGUGAAGGGGUCUCCCCUCAUCCUGUUCCACGCGCCCCCCGCCCCCACCACUUCCCUGAGCUACAGGCGAGCAUCCCAGGGGCCGCUGGUUUACACACUUGCUGGAGAAUACAGGGAUGGCCUGGCCCAGAGCUCUCCCCAAGUGGGGGCAGCAGAGGUUGGGUGGGCAGCCAUCCCUCCUCCUCCUCUUGAGGGAGACGCUAAGCCACUAGAUGCAGGAGAUGAGGCAAGAAGAUAAAGAGAAGGGCUUGAGUCAUUCAGGCCAUGAGGAAACAGAGACUGGGGAAGGAAGCCAUCCGUUACCUCACUCAUGGCGUGGGAACAGGUGACAGAAGCCAACUGACCAAGUUAAGCAGCAAAAUAAUUUCUUUCUUUUUNUUUUUUUUUUUUUUUGCUUUUUAGGGCUGCAUAUGGAGGUUCCCAGGCUAGGGGUUGAAUCAGAGCUACAGCUGCCAGCCUACACCACAGCCACAGCAAUGUAGGAUCCAAGCCGCGUCUGCGAUCUACAUCACAGCUCGCAGCCAUGCCGGAUCCUUAACCCAUUGAGCAAGGCCAAGGAUCGAACCUGCAACCUCACGGUUCCUAGUUGGAUUCGUUUCCACUGUGCCACGACGGGAACUACAAGCAGCAAAAUAAUUUCUUGAAAGGACCUCAGGUAACUUGCAGAAACCGAUCUUCAGUUACAGGGUAUUUAGUAUUUUGAAUUCUAAAGAAUUCAAACACAUGGCAGGAAAAAAUAUAUAUUUGUUCCAGAAAAUUGUAAACUUAUCUUCGCCCCUGCUUUCUCAAGAAGACAUAUAGGCAGGUAGCUGAGGGUUUCUGGUUUCCUGGGAACAAAGUCUUAGUCAGGGCGGAGGCCUUGCUACGCUAGAUCACAGCCUUACAGCCUGAGGACGAAGAGAAGCCCAGGGCUAACUCUGCAAAAAAAGGAGGGGGGGAUAGAGGAGACCCCGGAGAAUUCAGAGGCUUGGGAUCGCUUGAGGGGAGAGAGGGCUGUUUGCUGUAACCCUCCUUCCAUCUCUAGAGAGAAAUCCUCAGUACAAUGCCCAUUUCUCACGGCAGCCUUGCGGCCCAGUUUUGCUUUGGGGUAAUUGAGGGAAGCACUGAGCCCUGCUCCUUGGUGAAGGGAGUGAGUGGAGGCGGUGAAAGGCUGACACACCUGCACUGUAUUUUCGGACCCUGCCUGGGCUUUGGAUGGGCCAUUCAAAUCUCGAGUGAAUCUGGGUUUCCAUCAUUACUCUAAAUAAAAAGCCAAACAUACAGCAUUGCACCUACAGUAAACCAAUGCACUUCAUUUUGUUAAGAGAGUAAGUCUCAUGUUGAAUGUUCCUACCGGCCUAAAAAAUUUAACAACCGAACAUGCUUCUCCCCACCCCAGUGCUGCAAAAGUGCCAGGGCAGAGGCUGAUUCAGCCCAAGGAAAGAUGACCCUGGGAUAUUACCUCAACACCAGAGGGAAGUUGUGACUGUGAGGUCAGCAUGCUGGCCUGAUCAAGAAUGGACUUUUCAGAAAGUGUAUUAGUCAGGAUCCUUUGGGUUGCAAAUCAUGGAAAUUCAUCUCUCACAUGUUAAUCAAAACAAACAAACAACACCCAAAAACGUAAAAGGGGAAGGUGGAAUUACUGGCUCACAUAAAUGUGAAAGGCAGGAGUAGCGCUAGCUUCAGGAACGGCUAGAUCCAGGCACACAAGUCAGGUUGCCAGGUGUUUAUCGCCAUCUCACCACUCUGUCCUUUUUUUGUGUGGGCUUCUCUCCCAGUUUAUGUCCCUCCUGGAGGGGCAAGAUGGCCCCGCAAAGUACCAUCCCAAUAUCACCCCUGCUGGAAAGAGCUGACUUUCCCAACCGUUCUGAGGAAAGUAUCAGGAUUGAGUCUCAUGGAACUGGCUGGGUUAUUUCCCCCACCAUGGAGUUAGGAGAAUGGGGUGAGCCACACAGGAACUCCUUGAACUGAGAGCACAGGCAGGAAAAAUCUCUUAAAGGAAGUCAAGGUAUUUCUGAUACCAGGAAUGGGAAAACAGCAGUCCGUGACAAAUGGAGACACGCAUCCUAUGAAGUGAGCUCAGGAGACAGAUAUAAAAACAACAACAACAAACUUCCUUGUGUCACCCCGGCUGGAAAUUGGUGUUUAAUCCAGGCUUGAAGGACACAUGACUUACUAAGAAACGAGAGUGUCUCCAGGAAGGGGUGAGGCGGACUGGGGCAGAUACCCUUGGCUGAUUUGGGUCCCCACGCCUCCCCUUCUAGCCUUAGCUUCAGAGACAGGAUUUCCUGGAGCGGGAGCUGUCGCUGUAGAGCUGGCUACCAGACAAACUCUGAAACCUUGGUCAAGGCCACAUGCUGCCAGACAAGAGGGACGUUUGCAGGGACUGCAGCCCCAGGGACAAGAGAGGAGAAUGCUGAAUUGUGGUCAGAGCUUCAGUGCAUCGUUAGAGGAGGAUGGUCGGAGAGAGGGGGAAACGGAGCCACAGUUUAGAGGUUUUAGGCUCUGGCAGCAGGAACCAAACGCGGAUUCGAAGCUGCCCAUCGGGGCCUCCAUCUCUGCACGAGAAUGACCAGUGCUGCUUGAAGGCAUGGGCAGUGGAAAGGGAGGUGCCGGGAUUCCUCUGUCUCUGAGACAGCAGAGAGGAGAGAAGCGCUCCCCACACACAGUAGAACAGUAGAUAAAAGAGAUCUGUGCUGUGAGCCAUGAGCCGUAGGACGAGAUGUGCUUGAUCACAGCUUGGAGAAUCUGGCCCUGCGGGAGCAGAGAGAUAACCGUGGGUACAAGGGACACAGUCACAGUUUCCCCCGUCGCGCUGCCGCAAAGCAUUGGAAUGGCAGACAGCUUAUAAAUGUAUUAAAGCAAAAGGGCAUUUUCAGAGAGAGAGAACGCACUGAGCAAGGCCAGGGAUCGAACCUGCAACCUCAUGGUUCCUAGUUGGGUUCUUAACCUGUUGAGCCAGGAUGGGAACUCCCAUGACCUUUCUUGUUCCAGGUCCUGGGAACUGCUUCUCAGCCGCUUUAGCCAUUCAGGCCUAGAGGUGGGGACAGCUCUGCUGCCAGCUCCACGUUAGUACACUUGAAGUCACCCUGUGCUUUGUAAUUAGGCCCUGUAUAAACAAACCGCCUGCCACUUUCAGGUGAGUGGUACCAUCUGUGUCUUGUUGGGACUCUGAAUGAUGCUGUCCCUGAAAUUCUCCCUGUUAGCUAAGUGGGAGGAGGAGGGAGUGAGCGGGGCCAUCCUUAGAGGAUAAGAAAUAACAGCCGAGUUCUGGCUGGAGGAGCCAGUGCCAACGAGGGAGGCAGAAAGGAUGCACCUGGCCUCCUGAGUCUGCCUUCCUGGCAGGAGACGUGGGCUGGCACGAGCAGGAGGCCAGCUGCUAACAGAAAGUUCUGCAGAGUCGGCCCAAAGCUCAAGCUAAAGCUCGGAGCAUCUUCUCUUCCACUGAGGCGUGUCUGGUACCCGUGAGCACUGGCACGUGCUGGUUCCUAACUGGUCCCCGGACUUGCUAAUCAGAUUAAAGGGCAAACUACUAAACGCCGAGGACUCAUGAAUUUGAAAUCCUGUGGCGUUUAUUUUCCUGUGAUCAGGAAAGACACCUUGCGGUAGAGGUACCUCCGAGGAAACUCAGUAAAUGCAUCACUUUUUUCCCUUUACAGGAGAUGGGGAGCUUGGCGCCGAGGCAGGAGGGGGUCUACCUUGUGCUACGGAGUAGGGGUGUCAGAGAUCUGGGGACCGGGUUUGUCUCUAAAGUGAGAGAGCGGAUCGGGCCUGAACAUCCCACCAGCUCUCCUGGGCUCUUUCAAUGCUAAUGCGUCCACAUUUCAAGCCACCACGGUUCCACAUCUCCCCUAGUUCUCUCUCUUCCCCAGCAAAGCUGAGUAUGUGUGGGAGGCAGAGGAAGCAGGGCCAAAUGGGGCAUCCAGGAGGCUCCCUCGAAGAGAGUGGGGGCCUGUGGGGAGGGAAAGGGGCCUCUCCCCCUGGAUGCUCUCUGAGCUGGGACUCUGCAGGCUCUUCCUGGUGCUGCAGCUGGAAUCAAGUGUGGUGAGAAAGUGGGGCUGUGGGCAGGGGGGACCUACGAGACUGGGGCUGUUUGUGAACACAGAGAAUGGAUUAGAGAGUUCUAAAGACAGGCGGCUCGUGGAAGGGCCUACGUCAGCAAGCUUGUCAGGAUCAAGAUAUUGGGGGGCCUGGGAGGAACAUGGGGCACCCCUCCCAGUUCCUCAUAUUUGCCAUGGCUCCAUAUGAAAGAGCGUGAGGUUGAGAGGAGGCACAGAGGGCCAGCCAGCAGCCACAAGGAGUAGGGUCCCCCAUUUGGGGGAGGGGCUGGGGACAGACCCAUGGUAGGGACAAAGGAAGGCCAGGCAGCCUCUGUCCGUGGAAGUCCUUGGCAAUGAGGGGCCAAGGGAGAGCUGAGUGACACCCAGGAAGUCACGGGUGUUCCCUCUGUGGACAUCACCACAUCACAGAGGCCACCAAGGGCAAACAGAACCGGAGCAAGGUCAGGGACAGGUCUCUGAAGCAGAAUGAAGCCGGGGGGGCAAGAGAGCUCACAGGCCUUCUCUCCACCCCCAGGAGUUAGUGAUGAGAAAAGAGAGCGGAGCAUGCCCCUGGCCUAUCACGGUCCCCAGCCACCAAGCCUCUCUAGUCACAUUCUAGCCUGGGUGGGGUAGAGGGUUGCUGUGAAUUGGGUAAGAGGUUGAAGUUUUUGCUUUGUUUUUUGUCUUUUUUUUUUUGCCUUUUCCAGGGCCAGCAUAUGGAGGUUCCCAGGCUAGGGGUCGAAUUGGAGCUGUAGCUACUGGCCUACACCAGAGCCACAGCAACACGGGAUCCAAGCUGAGUCUGCAACCACAGCUCACGGCAACGCCGGAUCGUUAACCCACUGAGCAAGGGCAGGGACCGAACCCGCAACCUCAUGGUUCCUAGUUGGAUUCGUUAACCACUGCGCCACAACGGGAACUCCGAGAUUGAAGUUUUAAACUGGACGGGUCUAGGUUUAAAUAACUGAAUGAGGAGUUCUCAUUGUGGUUUGGUGGGUUAAGAACCCAGCUAGUAUCCAUGAGGAUGUGGGUUUGAUCCCUGGCCGUGCUCAGUGGGUGAAUGACCCAGUGUUGCUGUGGCUGUGGUGUAGGCCGGCAGCUGCAGCUUUGAUUCACCCCACAGCCCGGAAACUUCCAUGUGCUGCAGAUGUGGCCCUAAAAGAAAAGACCAGAAGGUUAUUAAAACUGCCUGUGGUGUUAAAAAAGAGGAAAGAGGAAAGGGAAUGAUGAGGAAGAUUAAAAAGACCCAGAAUUUCUUCAUGCAACUACCUCAACAGGUUGAACCAAACUCCUCAGCAACCAGGUGUGCUAAGAAAAUGACCACUGGCCUCCCAUCUCCAUAGUGAGGCAUCCCUCCCACCUGAGCCGAAGAGGGCACCUGGGGACCAGAGCACCUGCCAAAGAGCCUGAGCUUCACCUUGACUGGGCCGCCUUGGCUGACAAGCCUCUCUUGAACCCAUCCCUGGACCGAAGAGGUGGCAGGUACUGAUUGUUCGAGCUCAGGUCAUAUUUCUACCCCUGGAGGUGGCCUCCCUGGGACCACAGCAUUCCCAGAAGGGAGGUGGGAACUGCAGGGAAGAAGGAAGGAAGGAUGAAUUGGGGGAAAUUUCGCGUUGGGGAAACUUUUGGCAUAAAGUUUCUGUCCCAGGAAGAGAGUGGAACCAAAACAAAAACGUACAGGAGUUUUAUAAUUCCCAGAAUAACAGCCAUUGACACGCUUAAUGAUGACACUAACGGGUGGGUUGGAGCAGCAGGGCAGAGUUAAAUAUCCCGGCAGUAAGGAAAAGGAGGCCCUGUUCCCCGGUGGCCCAGUGAAGGACUCAGCAUUGUCACCGCUGUGGCUGCUGUGGCUCAGUACAGGAACUUGCGCAGGCCGUGGGUGCAGCCAAAACAAACAAACGAGAAAGAUUUUUAAAAAGAAAGAACGAAACAGGCGGCCAGGAGAGCUCUGAGCUGAGGGCGAGCUCCUGGGGGCUGGGAGGGGCCUCUGGAUGAAGGGAGGGCAGGAAGGGGAGCUUCGGGACUAAAGGCACGUCUGAAGGGGAUUUUCCGAAGUGAAAUGGUGAAAGUGAAAGUGAAGGAAGCCAAGAGCAGAGCCCUCGCCCCCGUUUUCCCGUGUGAAAUCAGCAGUUACAGGGUCAGUCUCUUCGGCUGUGGGCAUGACGACCGAAUGCAAGGUGGCAGCCAGGACUGGGUCCUGGGACAAAAGUGGGACAUGGCUGCAAACGCCGGGGAGGUCCAGUUACAGCCUCGAGUGUAGUUCAUAGCCACUGUUGGAGGUUCCCCCCCACCCCCCGCCAAAAAAGAGAGAGAGAGAGAGAGACAAAAAAUAGUAAUUAAUGUCAAUUUCUUUGUUGUGACAGUGUGUCUGUCCCUUAGAACGUACCAUGUUAACGAAGGAAACCGGGUAACGGGUAUAGGAGACCUCUCCUUACAUUUUUGCAACUUUUCCAUAAAUCUACAGUUAUUCUCAGAUAAAGUUUAUUUAUGUAUGU
Molecule: long non-coding RNA, 7535 nt
Filed under: Sus scrofa (pig)
Lineage: Eukaryota; Metazoa; Chordata; Mammalia; Artiodactyla; Suidae
Description: lncRNA (ENSSSCG00025007988.1)
Source: RNAcentral